Molecule: non-coding RNA, 90 nt
Organism: Zea mays
Lineage: Eukaryota; Viridiplantae; Streptophyta; Magnoliopsida; Poales; Poaceae
Source: Rfam
AGAGCAGCUGAUGAGGACAAGACAGGGACAUCAGAACCCAUUUCUGGGCAUGAUAGACUGCGUCUUUAAUGGGAAUCUCUCUGAUGCAUC